Ctenopharyngodon idella (grass carp) is the source of this 5488-nucleotide long non-coding RNA. RefSeq lists it as uncharacterized. The transcript has 3 exons. The record is from RefSeq and is a predicted model, not a curated record. Lineage: Eukaryota; Metazoa; Chordata; Actinopteri; Cypriniformes; Xenocyprididae.
UCUUUGUCUUUUGUUUUUGUGCUUGUUUCCUUCAGGGACAAAAGCUAAAAAUGAAGUAUUUUAACCUUUCUAAAGACAUUGUCUUAAUGUUCUGUAAAAUAUAUUGUUCUUCCCUUCAAUCCAUAUUUUAACUUGAUGUUCUUUAUUUGUUUUCAGUUCUUUGGGUCAUAUUUUACAUUAAUUCAGUCUCUGGUGCUUCAGGCAGGUUGCUUGCAUCUUUCUGGAGUCUGAUGAACAAGUAAGCCUGGAUUUGUGUAACUGGCAAGGGUGCUGAUUGAUUUACUCAUUAAGACAAGGGUCUUUAUUUCCCUUCUGCUAGUUUUGGCAGAAGAAUUUAGAGCAGUUAAUGGAUAAAUGCAUUGCAGUCAAACCUCUGUGUAUUGAGCUGAACUGUGUGGUUGCUGCAUGGUAACAGUGCCAUCAUGUGGGCUUGUAUAUAAAAUCCAUUUGGUUUGUGAUGGCAGCCAGAGUUCUCUCUAUUACUUGUGCCCAAAUCAUCCCAUAAUAUUACAGGUGUGUACAUACUCUAUGGGGAAUGUUCUUACUCAGCUUUUGUUUUGGCAGAAGGUGGGUCAUGUUUUGUUUCAAAUGUUGAAACCUGUUGAGUGAAGUUUGUUGUUUUUAGAAUAUUAAAACCAAGGAUCUUUAUUUACCCCAUUGAGAAUCUAACAUUAUUCCAAUCACGAAUGUGCAGGGAAAAAUGAAAUGUUGCUGCUUUGCUUCCUAAACUUUGUUCCGUAGCUUCUUUGAGAUGUAACUUGGUGAUAAAUUAACUCAAUUAUAGCUUUAGGGAAAAUACUUCAUUAAAUAAUGGAUGAAAUAUUUUCUCAUUAAGGCAGUUCAUUAGGUAUGAUUUAAGACAUGGUCUGCUCUUUUGACAAAAAUUCACAAUUAGGAUUUUGGUGACUUAAAGGGAUAGUUUGCCCCAAAAUGAAAAUCACCUUAAAGUUAUUCCAAACCUGUAUACAUUUCUUCUGCUGAACACAAGAUGUUUUGAAGAAUAUGGAUAACCAAACAGUUGAGGGGGCCCAUUGACUUCUGUAGUAUAGGGGGGGGAAAAUAGUCAAUGGGGGCCCCAUCAACUGUUUGAUUCAAAAUGUCGUCUUUGUGUUCAGCAGAAGAGGGAUUCAUACAGGGCAAGUAAAUGAUGACAGAAUUUUAAUUUUUGGGUGAACUAUAUAUAUAUUUUUUUAAGGUUAGGUUAUCUAACACAGUGUUUCUCAACGGAUUUGGCCAUGAUGAGACUAUAUAAAUAAAAAAACAAUGAAAGUCCGCGCAACAGACAAAGAUGGCCAUCUACAUCAUAUAUUUUGAUGUAGAUGGCUUGUAUUAUAUAUUUUUAUUAUAACUGCCUUAAAAGUUAUGAACAGUUAAGAACAGGAAAAAAAAUGACAACUAACUUGUAAGACUAAUCUUAGCGGUUUAUGCAACCGGCCCUUGCUGCAGUUUUUCAAUGGCUCUGAACAGUACCUGUUCCGGCCGGUGGGUGGGACUGUUCAGUCGGAAGAUUUCAACAAACCUUUAUUAAUACAAAGAGCUGGUGAGGUGGUAAUACGGUUAAGUAAAAUUUAUAACUUAUGUCUAACUUCCAUACUUAACAACUGUGCACAGUUUCUGAUAGUUAGGACGGCUAAAUGUAAAAUUAGCUGCUCUGACCCAGCGACCUUUAUUACUUAUUUUUAUACUGUGUACCAUGGAUGACAAUCCAGUGUGCGUCUCUGGUAAAAGAAGUUAUGCUAUUUUGAAUUUAGCCAACGACAUACAGCGGAAACACAUUCUUAGUAAUGGGGACAACAUAUAUCGUUAAUGAAAUAAAAUUGUACAGUUAAUGGCUGGAUAAAACCGGCAAAUUUGAAUUCACCAGUGGCAAAAAGUUCGUUUGGACUCUAGUUGUAGGCAAAUAACUACUGUUAAUGAACGCCAGAGGGCAGAAGAGAUCAAGAUUUGUAUGGACCGCGAAGCUGAGCUGCAUCAAAAUAAAAUCUACUCCUCAUGCACCAGUUACUUUCCUUAAGAAAGAAUGUAACAAGUAGAAAAUAGUUUCGUUACAUAUAUCACAUAACUUCAAAACAUACAAUUAUAAGAACACACAUGUUCACGUCGGUGUCACUGCAGGCAGUGGAGAUGUUCCACUGGUGAUUUGUGUUUGAGUGCCGAUUUAUGUUGUUUACUGUACUGUGUUUGCUUUACUCAAUGUGUGUUCAGAUGUUCCCUGGGAAGCUGUUUCAUUCUCUGUGUCCACAAUGCAGCUCCGCGCCAGUCUAUCAAUGAUCGUCUGUUUGAGAGCACCUGAACUCCUCCCUCUCUCUGUCUCUUCCCUGUAAUUUGGAAGCAAGAGAGAAAGAUAAACAUGUCUUUGAGUGAUAGAGAAGAAUGUCAAGAAUUCUGGCUGAGAAGGUGUUGCUGUUUGUUCACUUGCUACUGUCUGAAUGCGGCUUGGCCUCCAACGAUGCCGCCGCCGACAACUAUUAACUUUCCAGCUGGACCCCAACCGCUUUGCAUGCUGAUGAAGAGUGGAUCAGCCCGACGAGGGGGAAAAAGCGCAAACAGACAGGAGGAGGGAAUGAGGGAUUAUUUGGAGGAGUAAAAGAGAAGAAAGGGUGAGAGAACUGAGGAAAGAAAGACAAAGACUGUAUUUGUUUGUACGCUUUUAAAAAGCACUCAAAGAAAAUCUAUUAUUUCCACUUAUAAACCGAUCGAUUGUUCUCGCAUUUUCCCCCUUUCUCUUAUAUUCCUGCCAGUGGUAGCGCUCGUUCUGUGGACUGCAGUGUGAAGUCAUCUCUGUCAGGAAAAGUGAGAGAUGCUGAGUCAGAUUACUCAUAAACCUAGAGCAUUAGGCUGCAUUAUUCUACCAGGAAGUGGUGAGCAGCGUUCUCUAUGACAGAAUAAUUGAUCUAUUGUUAAUAAUGUUAGAUAGAUGUUGAAGUUGAGGAUGUAAGAAUGUGAGUCAGAUGUUUGGUGGUUGUGAAGAGAUGAAGUGUUGAAGUGCAUGUGAGUGUGUGUGCAUACAGUAUGUGCUCUGCAUAGUAUUGAAGAACUGCACCAUUUCCAAAACACAGGCAAAAAUAUAGACCUGCAGUGGCCCCCAAAAUAUUUGGACACUUAAGGCAGACUUAACAGAACUUUUCUUAGAACAUUUUUUUUUCGGAGCGAUAUUUGCAGUUACUUUUAAUUAUCUGGUCUCAAGGUGAUUCAGGUAGAUAUAAUAAGUCAGUUCCCCUACCGUAUACACUCCAUAUAUCAUCACAUCUAUUAAAAACAUAUUGCACUAUUGUUACCAGAAAGAUUUUGGAUUUUAUCUCAGUUUUGAAAAGUACCUAUUGUUUUAUAAUUUAAAGGUAACAAACUUUUUUUUUUCCCUGUGCUUUCUUCCUUUAAAACAAAAAAUCUUGGUUAUAAUUUUUAUUUAAUUCCCACAUACUUUUUGAGGUCACUUCUGUCAUGAUUUUUUAUCAUUUAAAGUCGCCAUGGAAUGGAAAUCUACUUUCUAAAUGCAUGUUAUUAAUCUUGUUGUGGAUGAUUUAUCUAUGCAUAUGUUUCAUUUAUUUAUCUUUUACAUUUUGCAAUCAAAACUUGAUAUUGAGGAGCAACAAGGUUGUUUGCCUCUAGCAAAUCAACAACCAAUGGAUAGAGACAAGUCCUGCCCUUCAAUUUUCUGUCUGAUUCACAAAUGGAAGAAAUGAUUUGUUGCUAUUCUACUAUAAUGCUGAAAUUAAAGAAGAAAACAAAACGCUUAUUGGCUGUUGUUUUAAUCUGUAUAUUGUGUAGUGUCUUAGUACUACUCUAGUAAAUACCAGCCUUAAUUGAAAGUAAUACAUGUGGUUAUUUCGAUAAUUGGUAUAAUCCUCUACCAGGUCUCUGUGACAAUAGCUCAUUUGAAUCACAUGCAAUUACCAUCAUCUACCCUGCUAAAAUCCAUAUUGUAGUGCUUUAUCGUCCCCCAGGUCAGCUAGGUAACUUCUUGGAGGAGUUAGAUGUGUUACUAUCAUCCUUCCCUGAGGAUGGUACUCCUCUGCUAGUACUUGGAGAUUUCAACAUCCAUCUAGAAAACCUCAGGCUGCUGACUUCUGCACCCUGCUUGCCUCAUUUGAUCUCAAGCGAGUGUCUACUACAGCUACCCACAAAUCAGGUAACCAAUUGGACCUCAUCUACACACGCUGCUGCUCCACUGAUAAUACUCUGGUCACUCCACUACACACCUCUGACCAUUUCCUCAUCACUUUUAAUCUCAACCUGACCCCUAACUCAACACACACUCCACCACAUAUUACUUUUCGGCGAAACCUACGCUCGCUCUCACCCUCUGACCUAUCCUCUUUGGUCUCAUCCACACUUCCUCCCCCUAAUCAGUUCUCAUCUCUGGACACUAACAAUGCUACUGACACUCUUUGCACCACGCUAACAUCUUGCUUAGAUGUCUUCUGCCCUCUCUCAUCCAGACCAGCCCGCACCACCCCCUCUGCCCCCUGGCUAUCCGAUGUUCUCCGUGAACAUCGGUCUAGACUCAGGGCUGCAGAGAGGAAGUGGCGCAAAUCUAAAGAUCUUACUGAUCUUAGCUUCUAUCAGUCACUCCUUUCUUCUUUCUCUACAAAUGUCUCCAAUGCUAAAAGCACGUACUAUCACAAUAAAAUUAAUAAUUCUACUGAUUCCCGCACACUUUUCAAAACUUUCUCUUCUCUUCUUUGCCCUCCUCCCCUCCCUCCCACAUCAGCUCUUACUGGAUCUGUCUGCUGCUUUUGACACAGUUAACCACCAGAUCCUCCUGUCAACCCUCAGGUCUAAGGGCAUCUCAGGAACCGCACUCCAGUGGUUCGAGUCUUACCUCUCAGGUAGGUCCUUCAGGGUAUCUUGGAGAGGUGAGGUGUCCAAGUCACAUCAUCUUGCUACUGGGGUACCUCAGGGCUCUGUGCUUGGACCACUUCUCUUCUCCAUCUACAUGUCAUCACUAGGAUCUGUCAUUCAGGAGCAUGGUUUUUCCUAUCACUGUUAUGCUGAUGACACACAACUCUACCUCUCAUUCAAACCAGAUGAUCCGACAGUUGCUGGUCGCAUCGCAGCCUGCCUGACAGCCAUUUCUGCCUGGAUGAAGGACCACCACCUACAACUCAACCUUGCAAAAACGGAACUGCUUGUGGUCGGUGCCAACCCAACACUUCAUCAUAACCUUUCCAUUCAACUUGGGUCGUCAACCAUAACUCCUUCCAGGACGGCCAGGAACCUCGGAGUGGUGAUGGAGGAUUGUUUAAGCUUCACAGAUCACAUCGCUACAACGGCCCAGAGGUAAGACUCAAACCUUAAGUCUUACUCGGAGUAAGACUCCUUGCAGAUCCUCUCCAGUUCUGUCAGGUUGGAUGAUAAAUGUUGGUGGACAGGCAUUUUUAGGUCUCUCCAGAGAUGCUCAAUUGGGUUUAAGUCAGGGCUCUGGCUGGGCCAUUCAAGAACAGUCACGGAGUUGUUGUGAAGCCACUCCUUCGUUAUGUUAGCUGUG